GGUGAGGCUCUAAAGAAUAUGCAAAAUUUUAAAAUUUAUUAAAACCUCAAAAUUCUAUGGAUACUAUUGAUCUUAAUUCAUAACAAAUAUUUCAUAUAUUAAUAGGUGCCAAACCUUGUACGAUUUGCAAAAUUUGGUCAUCUGACUAGCAUUGAUGAAGCUUUAUCUAAUCAAUCCUUUCAACCAUGAUCUUAACCAUAGCCACACACACACAC
RNAcentral lists this long non-coding RNA (215 nucleotides) under Elaeis guineensis (African oil palm). Its description in RNAcentral is "long non-coding RNA (EGUI_LNC008616)". The record is from RNAcentral. Lineage: Eukaryota; Viridiplantae; Streptophyta; Magnoliopsida; Arecales; Arecaceae.